UACGUAGGGGGCAAGCGUUAUCCGGAUUUACUGGGUGUAAAGGGGGCGCAGACGGCAAUGCAAGCCAGGAGUGAAAGCCCGGGGCCCAACCCCGGGACUGCUCUUGGAACUGCAUGGCUGGAGUACAGGAGGGGCAGGCGGAAUUCCUAGUGUAGCGGUGAAAUGCGUAGAUAUUAGGAGGAACACCGGUGGCGAAAGCGGCUCUCUGGCCUGUAACUGACACUGAGGCUCGAAAGCGUGGGGAGCAAACAGG
Molecule: ribosomal RNA, 253 nt
Filed under: uncultured bacterium
Lineage: Bacteria
Description: partial 16S ribosomal RNA
Rfam family: Bacterial small subunit ribosomal RNA
Source: RNAcentral